ACGGCUUGAAUCGUCGAAACUUUGUUUUGACGCCGCGGUGUCGGUACCGCGACUGUGGUUACACGAACGUGGCCUUAAAAUGAAGUGUCCUUCGCAGUUUUAAUAUUCGAUCAUUUUUAUCAACCAUCCACAACAAAUAAUAAGAAAUGCCAACCCCAUAGGGACAACAUCAUCAAAAUUUAAAUAAUGGAUUCAUUUUACCGAUUGAGCAGAAAUAGAAAGAAAAUACAUCCACGUCCGUUAACAUGAUUGUGAAAUUUGGUUUCGAAAAGAAGACGGGAACUUAUGGACUGGUGCAGGUGCCGUCCUGUUCGUAAAGAUCCUGGGGUGACCCUCGGCUUCGGCCUUGGGAAAAACGUGCGCUCUGGGAUCGAUCGUUAGGAAUUAAUCUUCUGCUGUGUAGCGUACUGAGGCUCUGCGGAGCUGUACGGCGGUGCAUGUCGGAGGAGGCACGGUUGAGAUGCGGUUGCUAACGAUCGAUCCUUCUGCUGCCGAAUUACCCAAAAACAAAAAUCAAAAACCAAUACUAUCAAACCAAACCAAGGAAACCUAUUGAGAAAAGCAAAAAUACAAAAUCUCUUAAACUAAAGUAAUAACAAAUACUCAAAACUCCACCCGUGACCUUGUGUUGCGGGCUCUAGGUUUUCCUUUGGUGCAAUGGUUUUGUUUAGUUCAGGAUUUUUACUGCAGGAGUACCAUGACCAGUCCAGAGGUUUGGAAAACUAUUCAUCAAAUUACCGAUAACAAAUAAUCACGUCUCCAUUUAAUUCUGAAAUAGGGAAAUGGUCGAAUGAUAAGACGGAAGACUUCCACUUUUGCACUUUUUGUCUUAAAUUUUCAAAUGUUAUGUACGUUAAAUCGAAAUUUGUAAUUCAAAUCACUGAUAAUAAAGAUUUGGUUGUAAUUUGGUAACGUUUUCAAUCGAUAAAUAAUAAAAGAACAAACUGUAUGACGAAAUAAUUACUUCAAGAAAAUGUCUAAUGUUAAGGAAAACUAAAUGUGGUAGGUAUAAAACAUUUGGACGAAGGUUUCCUUUAUUCGAGUUAAGUCCUGUCAGGUUAUCAAGAUUGAAUUAUGUAGGUACUCUCGAAAGGAUAAAAAAAAUCAAUGAAGCUCUCCUGGUGUGAUCACGAAACGAGCAUAAAUGACAAAAGAUUUAGAUCAUUUUUGGUUCAAAAGAUGUGCAUAUAUUCGAUAAAACUAAAAAAAUCUGGCACCGAGAAAUGAUUUAAGAUGAUAUUGAAUUUCCCAUGGUUAUAUCAGUACUAUUACUAACUACUGUUAAAUGGAAAAUUUAGUAACUAAGUGGAUACUUUCGACGUAACAAUGCGAAUGAUGAGGAUAUCGUGGAUAGAGAAUGUAAGAAU
This 1367-nucleotide long non-coding RNA is filed under the name Agrilus planipennis (emerald ash borer). RNAcentral's name for it is "uncharacterized LOC108734908, transcript variant X1". The record is from RNAcentral. Lineage: Eukaryota; Metazoa; Arthropoda; Insecta; Coleoptera; Buprestidae.